Molecule: ribosomal RNA, 985 nt
Filed under: bacterium endosymbiont of Plateumaris shoemakeri
Lineage: Bacteria
Description: bacterial SSU rRNA
Rfam family: Bacterial small subunit ribosomal RNA
Source: RNAcentral
UACUUUCAACAAGAAAGAAAUAAUAAAAUUUAAUAAAUUUUAUUACUGACGUUACUUGUAAAAGAAGCACCGGCUAACUCCGUGCCAGCAGCCGCGGUAAUACGGAGGGUGCGAGCGUUAAUCGGAAUUACUGGGCGUAAAGAGCACGUAGGCGGUAUAUUAAGUCAGAUGUGAAAUCCCUGAGCUUAACUUAGGAAUUGCAUUUGAAACUGAUAUGCUUGAGUUUCGUAGAGGGGGGUAGAAUUCCAGGUGUAGCGGUGAAAUGCGUAGAUAUCUGGAGGAAUACCAGUGGCGAAGGCGACCCCCUGGAUGAAUACUGACGCUGAGGUGCGAAAGCGUGGGUAGCAAACAGGAUUAGAUACCCUGGUAGUCCAUGCUGUAAACGAUGUCGACUUGAAGGUUGUAAGCUUGACUUGUAACUUUCGUAGCUAACGCGUUAAGUCGACCGCCUGGGGAGUACGACCGCAAGGUUAAAACUCAAAUGAAUUGACGGGGGCCCGCACAAGCGGUGGAGCAUGUGGUUUAAUUCGAUGCAACGCGAAAAACCUUACCUGGUCUUGACAUCCAUGGAAUUUAGUAGAGAUACUUUAGUGCUUCGGGAACCAUGAGACAGGUGCUGCAUGGCUGUCGUCAGCUCGUGUUGUGAAAUGUUGGGUUAAGUCCCGCAACGAGCGCAACCCUUGUCCUUUGUUGCCAACGGUUCGGCCGGGAACUCAAAGGAGACUGCCGGUGAUAAACUGGAGGAAGGUGAGGACGACGUCAAGUCAUCAUGGCCCUUACGACCAGGGCUACACACGUGCUACAAUGGUAUAUACAAAGGGAAGCAUCCUCGCGAGAGUAAGCGGAUCUCACAAAAUAUAUCGUAGUUCGGAUUGGAGUCUGCAACUCGACUCCAUGAAGUCGGAAUCGCUAGUAAUCGUAGAUCAGAACGCUACGGUGAAUACGUUCUCGGGCCUUGUACACACCGCCCGUCACACCAUGGAAG